This 23-nucleotide microRNA is filed under the name Populus tomentosa. RNAcentral describes it as "Pto-N3". Lineage: Eukaryota; Viridiplantae; Streptophyta; Magnoliopsida; Malpighiales; Salicaceae. The record is from RNAcentral.
CAUGCCAAUUGAGAACUUGCUGG